GUCGUCCCUUAUGCGCUCCUUUUCGAAAACUAAUUUGGACAAGAGUGCAGUGGGAGAGGGUGGGCCGCCAAAGGCGGCCGGGUGAGGGAAUCGCUCACACCGUUUCCCCCGGUAAGGGUGAAAAGGUGCGGUAAGAGCGCACCAGCGGUCCGGCAACGGACCGGCUUGGUAAACCCCACACGGAGCAAGGCCAAAUAGGGAAACGAACGGCCCGUUCCAGUUUCCGGGUAGGCCGCUUGAGCUUCAGGGACACCUGAGGCCUAGAUGAAUGAUCGCCGCCUGGGUUGCGAAAUCCAGGUACAGAAUUCGGCUUAUAGUUUGCCUGCCAAU
RNAcentral lists this RNase P RNA (330 nucleotides) under Acidobacteriota bacterium. RNAcentral's name for it is "Acidobacteria bacterium (groundwater metagenome) RNase P RNA component class A". It matches the Rfam family "Bacterial RNase P class A", at positions 135 to 367 of the family's 367-position model. Rfam says of the family: Ribonuclease P (RNase P) is a ubiquitous endoribonuclease, found in archaea, bacteria and eukarya as well as chloroplasts and mitochondria. Its best characterised activity is the generation of mature 5'-ends of tRNAs by cleaving the 5'-leader elements of precursor-tRNAs. The record is from RNAcentral. Lineage: Bacteria; Pseudomonadati; Acidobacteriota.